CUUUCCUCCAGCCUGAAUGUCAGGGUGGGAGGUGAUAAGGCAAAGGGGAUGGCAGAGAGGAGAGUGUGUUGUGUUUCCUUUGAACUCCCUGGGUAAAGAGUUUCAGAGGUUUUAACACACAAACUUC
This is a small nucleolar RNA of Strigops habroptila (Kakapo), 127 nucleotides long. Ensembl annotates it as small nucleolar RNA SNORA17. The record is from Ensembl. NCBI's taxonomy places the organism in Eukaryota, Metazoa, Chordata, Aves, Psittaciformes, Psittacidae.